Molecule: long non-coding RNA, 1627 nt
Filed under: Mus pahari (shrew mouse)
Lineage: Eukaryota; Metazoa; Chordata; Mammalia; Rodentia; Muridae
Description: lncRNA (MGP_PahariEiJ_G0006418.1)
Source: RNAcentral
GCUCGGCUCGCCGCACUCAUCUCUCUCCCUCCUCUGCGUGCUGCACUUCGGAUCCAAAGAGCCGUCGGGAUGGAUGGUGCUAAUAGUAGUGACUUGCAAAGCAUCUCAAAGGGACUGAGAAAGUGAUAGAGGUUCAUUCCGUGCUUGGGCUUUGGGGUACGUAGAGGAGCUGGUCUCUGGAAUCAGACCAUAAGAACUGAGUCGGAUAAAGGCUGCAGAUGCCUCUGGGUCUCCGUGGCUGAAUCACCAGAAUAUCCCAGAGGCACAGUCUGAAAGGUGUAGUCCCAGAUGUGGUCCCAGAUACAUUUUGGAGAUGACCGCCUGCCUGGGAAAUACAGUCAGAAGACAAGGCCUGGCAGGGUGUUCAGAUCUUCCAAGCUAUCUGGAACAAAAGCAAGACUGAAGCCAGCCUCUAUGCACGUGACCAGGAACAUGGGUGUGCUAUGGCCUAAGACAAUUUCUCAAGUUCAAGGGCAGUGAUAUCAAGAUCCAGGUUUGACUCCCAGCACUGAUGUGGCAGCUGAGAACCAUCUGUAACUCCAGCUCCACGAGACCGAGGCCCAGUCCCAGCCAUCUCACCCACAGAGGAGUGCAGGACACAUCCAGAGCCCCUCCUGGAAGCUGCAUGCUCGGCACCGCCUAUAAACCAUUGGCUCCACAUCUGGCUACCUCUUGCUGUAAAGAAAGCCAUACAACAGUCCUGAUAUCAUGCAGCCGUUUAGCCAGCUAGAACUCAGGCCUUCUGAGACCAGGAAGACAUGGACAUUGCAGGUCAAACAGCGACCUUUGUUACUGAAGACACGUGACAGCGUGUAAUCAGCCUUUAUCCGUCCCAUACACAGAUGCUGACAUAUCUGAAUGUUCUGCUCGUAGUAACCAAUGUCCAAGGUAACUAAUUUGGUUCUCAUACUAGCUUUGUGAAGGGAGCGUAGCUACCUCUGUUUUCAACCCAAAAAGCAAACAAACUAGGAAUUCUGAGAGACGGUUCUGUUGUUUAUAGCAAACGCAUCACCCAAUACAACAUCUCUUGCUCUGGGAAUCCCUGAAUGGGAGUGUACUGUGCAGGUCCGUGGGAGACUGAUGUAACCCUGUUACUGUGGGUAGUUACGUUUGCAGGGGUUUUUCAUUAUUGAUAUUUAUUUGCUAACAUCCUGUGCUGGGAAGGCAUGCCUUUCAAGGCUGUGAGCUUGAAUGAAAAGCCUUUCUGAUUAGACGUGUUGGCUAAAUAUCCCAGAGGAGACCAGAAUUACCAAUGGGUGGUUUCAAAUAGCUUGGCUUUGGGGGUGGGUACUGCCAACCCUGGCUUUGUGUGCUGUAGAAUUGUGAUGCUUCUCAAAGAUUCCCAUUCUUUCCCAAGGAGCCUCUUUUAACUACUGUAGACAAAAUAGGCCGAAUGGCUUUUCAUCACUAAAACUUUUUGGACAAGAAAUAUAUAAGCAAAAAUCGACAUUUCUAGGAACACAUUAUCAUGCAUGUUCUUGCAACUGCUUCUCUGUUUCUAUGUCAGUGAUGGAGCACCCCACAGGGGUCAAAUGCUUUGCUGUAAAUUUAUAAAUAGUUUGUAUAACCUGUGAUGUUUACUAUAAUUAUCUUGUCCUGUAGGUCUUUUGCCAAAUAAAACACCAGG